This 299-nucleotide ribosomal RNA is filed under the name Aphaenops catalonicus. RNAcentral describes it as "partial 28S ribosomal RNA". It matches the Rfam family "Eukaryotic large subunit ribosomal RNA", at positions 119 to 403 of the family's 3401-position model. Lineage: Eukaryota; Metazoa; Arthropoda; Insecta; Coleoptera; Carabidae. The record is from RNAcentral.
GUAAUCGGUAACGGUUACCGGGCAAUGUAGUGUUUGGGAGAGCCCGUUUAACUUAAGUAAUAUUGACGAGUCCAAGUCCUUCUUGAAGGGGGCCACUCACCCAUAGAGGGUGCCAGGCCCGUGGUGACCGUUGAUUUAUUUUGGUGGGUUUCUCCUUAAGUCGGGUUGCUUGAGAGUGCAGCUCUAAGUGGGUGGUAAACUCCAUCUAAGGCUAAAUAUAACCACGAGACCGAUAGCGAACAAGUACCGUGAGGGAAAGUUGAAAAGAACUUAGAAGUGAGAGUUCAAGAGUACGUGAC